AACGAACGCUGGCGGCAUGCCUAACACAUGCAAGUCGAACGGGAUCCUGGUUUCGGCCAGGUGAGAGUGGCGGACGGGUGAGUAACGCGUGGGAACCUGCCCAGUGGUGGGGGAGUAACUGCGGGAAACGUGCAGCUAAUACCGCAUGAGCCCGCAAGGGAAAGAUUGAUCGCCAUUGGAGGGGCCCGGCGUUCGAUUAGGUAGUUGGUGAGGUAACGGCUCACCAAGCCUACG
RNAcentral lists this ribosomal RNA (234 nucleotides) under uncultured bacterium. RNAcentral describes it as "partial 16S ribosomal RNA". It matches the Rfam family "Bacterial small subunit ribosomal RNA", at positions 29 to 278 of the family's 1533-position model. The record is from RNAcentral.